AUUGAACGCUGGCGGAAUGCUUUACACAUGCAAGUCGAACGGCAGCGCGGGGGCAACCCUGGCGGCGAGUGGCGAACGGGUGAGUAAUACAUCGGAACGUGCCCAGUCGUGGGGGAUAACGUAGCGAAAGCUACGCUAAUACCGCAUACGAUCUGAGGAUGAAAGCGGGGGACCUUCGGGCCUCGCGCGAUUGGAGCGGCCGAUGGCAGAUUAGGUAGUUGGUGGGGUAAAGGCUCACCAAGCCUGCGAUCUGUAGCUGGUCUGAGAGGACGACCAGCCACACUGGGACUGAGACACGGCCCAGACUCCUACGGGAGGCAGCAGUGGGGAAUUUUGGACAAUGGGCGCAAGCCUGAUCCAGCCAUUCCGCGUGCAGGAUGAAGGCCUUCGGGUUGUAGACUGCUUUUGUACGGAACGAAACGACCUUCUCUAAUACAGGGGGUUAAUGACGGUACCGUAAGAAUGAGCACCGGCUAACUACGUGCCAGCCGCCGCUGUAA
RNAcentral lists this ribosomal RNA (500 nucleotides) under uncultured bacterium. RNAcentral describes it as "partial 16S ribosomal RNA". It matches the Rfam family "Bacterial small subunit ribosomal RNA", at positions 30 to 523 of the family's 1533-position model. The record is from RNAcentral.